GACGAACGCUGGCGGCGUGCUUAACACAUGCAAGUCGAACGGGUCUGCCCUGUUUUUUGCGGGGUGGGUCAGUGGCGAACGGGUGAGUAACACGUGAGUAACCUGCCCCUCACUUCUGGAUAACCGCUUGAAAGGGUGGCUAAUACGGGGUGUUCUGGCUGUGCCGCAUGGUGUGGCUGGGAAAGAUUCACUUUUGUGGUGUUUUGGUGGGGGAUGGGCUCGCGGCCUAUCAGCUUGUUGGUGGGGUGAUGGCCUGCCAAGGCUUUGACGGGUAGCCGGCCUGGGAGGGUGGGCGGUCACACUGGGACUGAGAUACGGCCAAGACUCCUGCGGGAGGCAGCAGUGGGGGGUAUUGCACAAUGGGCGGAAGCCUGAUGCAGCGACGUCGCGUGAGGGAUGGAGGCCUUCGGGUUGUGAACCUCUUUCGCCGGUGAAGAAGGUCCUGCUCUUUGUGGUGGGGUUGACGGUAGCCGGGUUAUGAAGCGCCGGCUAACUACGUG
RNAcentral lists this ribosomal RNA (500 nucleotides) under uncultured bacterium. Its description in RNAcentral is "partial 16S ribosomal RNA". It matches the Rfam family "Bacterial small subunit ribosomal RNA", at positions 28 to 507 of the family's 1533-position model. The record is from RNAcentral.